CUGGUAGAAUAUUUGUAGCUAAUACUAACACGUGAUACAAAGUCCGUAGCAUUAAAUUCAUUGUUUACAGGUUUUGUGUUUUGUUCAAAAUCUUCAAACGGGUGCUUUAAUAGACAAAGUUCUCAUCUUUAUCUAUGUUUGCAGUUUUAAUAGCACACAUACACACCGACAAAGAGAAAAAUGUUAGGAUGACUAGCAUGAAACAACUCGUUCUAGUGGUCACGAAAAGACUCGGCAAAAUUUGUUGUUCUCUGGUUAUUCUCCUUUUCUCGGGAUAAGGAGGUGAUGCACAAAUGGUUGGUUGGAAAUCUGGAAUUGCCAUUAUUCUAUUAAAAAUUUAAAUAUGUAAUCUGCAAACUUCCUGCAUUUAUCGUCAGAUGGAGCAUCUGCUAUUAAUCAUACAAUAAUCCUAAUAUCUAGUUGAUAUGGCUCCGCACUUAUAUAUUCCGUCCUAUGCAUUGUAUUAUUGUGCUCUGGUAAAUGUUUUUGUAUUCUUGUCUUUCUUGCAUCAUAGGUCAAAGUACGGACUCCAACAAGAGCCUUGGCUCACACCAAACAGCAAGCCAGAAAAGGCCACACAAAUGACUAGUGUAAAACCAUAUCUGU
Molecule: long non-coding RNA, 606 nt
Filed under: Mytilus galloprovincialis (Mediterranean mussel)
Lineage: Eukaryota; Metazoa; Mollusca; Bivalvia; Mytilida; Mytilidae
Source: RNAcentral